This 555-nucleotide long non-coding RNA is filed under the name Salmo salar (Atlantic salmon). Its description in RNAcentral is "lncRNA (ENSSSAG00000102244.1)". Lineage: Eukaryota; Metazoa; Chordata; Actinopteri; Salmoniformes; Salmonidae. The record is from RNAcentral.
GUGGAAUCGGAGGGGCGGGAGGCUGAAGGAGAGGAGGAGCAGGAGGCUGAAGGAGAGAAGGAGCAGGAGGAGGAAGGAGAUAAGAGAGUGGAGGGGUCGGAGAAGACGGCGGUGGAGAAGGAGAUGGAGAAGGGAACAGAGAGGGAGGAGAUAGAGAAGACGGAGGUGGAGAAGAAAGAGACAGAAAGGAAGGAGACUGGGAAGACGGCGGUGGAGAAGAAAGAGAUAGAAAGGAAGGAGAGAGGGAAGAAGGUGGUGGAGGAGAAAGAGACAGAAAGGAAGGAGAGAGGGAAGAAGGUGGUGGAGGAGAAAGAGACAGAAAGGAAGGAGACAGGGAAGAAGGUGGUGGAGGAGAAAGAGACAGAAAGGAAGGAGACAGGGAAGAAGGUGGUGGAGAAGAAAGAGACAGAAAGGAAGGAGACAGGGAAGAAGGUGGUGGAGAAGAAAGAGACAGAAAGGAAGGAGACAGGGAAGAAGGUGGUGGAGAAGAAAGAGACAGAAAGGGAGGAGAAAGAGAAGGCAGUGGUGGCGGGACCAGUAGGAGAAGGAGUGAAG